This 451-nucleotide ribosomal RNA is filed under the name uncultured bacterium. RNAcentral's name for it is "bacterial SSU rRNA". It matches the Rfam family "Bacterial small subunit ribosomal RNA", at positions 29 to 524 of the family's 1533-position model. The record is from RNAcentral.
AACGAACGCUGGCGGCAGGCCUAACACAUGCAAGUCGAGCGGGGACUUCGGUCCUAGCGGCGGACGGGUGAGUAACGCGUGGGAACGUGCCCUUUGCUUCGGAAUAGCCCCUGGAAACGGGGGAGUAAUACCGGAUGUGCCCUUUGGGGGAAAGAUUUAUCGGCAAAGGAUCGGCCCGCGUUGGAUUAGGUAGUUGGUGGGGUAAUGGCCUACCAAGCCGACGAUCCAUAGCUGGUUUGAGAGGAUGAUCAGCCACACUGGGACUGAGACACGGCCCAGACUCCUACGGGAGGCAGCAGUGGGGAAUCUUAGACAAUGGGCGCAAGCCUGAUCUAGCCAUGCCGCGUGAGCGAUGAAGGCCUUAGGGUUGUAAAGCUCUUUCGUGGGGGGAAGAUAAUGACGGUACCCCAAGAGAAGCCCCGGCUAACUCCGUGCCAGCAGCCGCGGUAAU